UACGUAGGGGGCAAGCGUUAUCCGGAUUUACUGGGUGUAAAGGGAGCGCAGGCGGCGCGGCAAGUCUGAUGUGAAAGCCCGGGGCUCAACCCCGGGACUGCAUUGGAAACUGUGCGGCUUGAGUGUCGGAGAGGCAAGUGGAAUUCCUAGUGUAGCGGUGAAAUGCGUAGAUAUUAGGAGGAACACCAGUGGCGAAGGCGGCCUGCUGGGCUUUUACUGACGCUGAGGCUCGAAAGUGUGGGGAGCAAACAGG
This 253-nucleotide ribosomal RNA is filed under the name uncultured Lachnospiraceae bacterium. Its description in RNAcentral is "partial 16S ribosomal RNA". It matches the Rfam family "Bacterial small subunit ribosomal RNA", at positions 524 to 776 of the family's 1533-position model. Lineage: Bacteria; Bacillati; Bacillota; Clostridia; Lachnospirales; Lachnospiraceae. The record is from RNAcentral.